UACAGAGGGGGCAAGCGUUGUUCGGAAUUACUGGGCGUAAAGGGCGCGUAGGCGCCUUCUAAGUCGAACGUGAAAUCCCCGGGCUCAACCCGGGAACUGCGUCCGAUACUGGAAGGCUUGAAUCCGGGAGAGGGAUGCGGAAUUCCAGGUGUAGCGGUGAAAUGCGUAGAUAUCUGGAGGAACACCGGUGGCGAAGGCGGCAUCCUGGACCGGCAUUGACGCUGAGGCGCGAAAGCCAGGGGAGCAAACGGG
Molecule: ribosomal RNA, 252 nt
Filed under: uncultured bacterium
Lineage: Bacteria
Description: partial 16S ribosomal RNA
Rfam family: Bacterial small subunit ribosomal RNA
Source: RNAcentral